UUUCAAAAUCAACAUUUUAUUCAAACAGCAAACUCAUACAACUAUCCCAAAUAAUUGUGUUUUGAGAAAUACGGAACUCAUGUACAAAACGUGACAGAUACAAUUUAACCGCACUUGAAUAUUCCAACAUUAGACUGCAUCAUUUAACACAUGUAACAGGUGUCUCUGUGUUCCGUAUUGUAUGGAUGUGUAUGUUUCUGUAAUUACAUGGCUCUUCUGUAAAACACACAUUGGUCUCAGCAUGACUGCCUGUCAAAAUUAAGCUAUUCAGAAAUAACGUGUGUAACAUGUCAAGUUAAAUGAAUGUCAUAUUAAAAGCCAGAAAUGUUUAUCAUUUGCCAAAUGCCUGGAAGAAACCAGUUGUCGGAAGUCAAAAUAACACUAUUAAAGGUGGAUGUUGUGUGGUUUCUCCUCCCAGGUAAGCUGUAUGUGUCACUGCUACACAGUUUCCUACCUUGCUGUUGUGUUGUGUACACUACAUACAUUCCCUACUUCUGCUUCCAACACCAUCAAUAAUAUACCUGUAAUCUGUGAUCUUCCAAACACACACAGUUCAGUCUUUAUACAUUUUAUAUAGAAAGUUCAAGAUGAGCAUACACAAUGAUAGGAAAGUUAUCCAACUCGUGUGUGUGUGUGUGUGUGUCCUCUAAAAAGGACUAACAGGUGUAUUUCCUAUUGUCCUGAACUGUAGGCCUACACCACACAUGCUCAUGGAAUUACAACAAUGCAUGCAGAUUUUGACUCCCCGAGUCGGGAGAUAUUUGACGACAACAACAACAACAACAACUACAACAACAAUUAACAUCUGCAAUAAUAUGACAAUAAUAAUAUCACUCAUCAAUAAAUACAAUACAUUCAAUUCGGCGACUGAGUCCUCCACAAAUGCUUUUUGGGGUAAGGGCUUCCCAGACUGAUAUUUAUGAACAGCAAGCCCAGACCGCAAAAAGAUUCGUGACGGACAAUCUACGGGUCCAGAUCCACAUCACUCCACGAACUACUGCCGUAAAAAGAGUCUUCCACUGUCUCUCAUCCACACAAAGUGCAUCUGUUCAGCAAUUGGUACAACACUCACAAUCUAUCUUUGCGCGCAAGGUUGUUGCAUGGGGAAUCCGACAUUGUAACCACAUUCGUCUAACCAUAUAAAUUCACGUUAAGCUACAGAAAACACUGUGUUUUAGUUCUAAACCAGCAACAAUCGCGGUGUGUGUAAGUACAUCCUCUUAUCCGUAAUGUCGCCUGAUGGAGAGCCGAUCUCCAGUUGUCUGCCGAUAGCUGUGCACGAGGAAGAACGCUGCUCUGCUCCAACGUACCGUAAAUAGAGAGCAGCGAAGGCUUUCAUUGGAGAGUACAGAACUCGUCAUCUACCAAUCGCAAUCAAUCUCUAUAGGGACCCCCCUUAUCCAACAAAAAAAAUCGAAAAGGAAAACGAACUGGUUUCCCCACGGUGGAAAAGUAACGAGACAAACCAUUGUCCACACAGUAGCCUUUACGCCUUGCCAAAGCCCAAAUAAAUGUGUGCAAAAAUGGGGAGCUUCU
This 1536-nucleotide long non-coding RNA is filed under the name Salmo salar (Atlantic salmon). RNAcentral's name for it is "lncRNA (ENSSSAG00000088315.1)". Lineage: Eukaryota; Metazoa; Chordata; Actinopteri; Salmoniformes; Salmonidae. The record is from RNAcentral.